CGCGUAGGCGGUGCGGUAAGUCACCUGUGAAACCUCCGGGCUCAACUCGGAGCCUGCAGGCGAAACUGCCGUGCUGGAGUGUGGGAGGGGUGCGUGGAAUUCCCGGUGUAGCAGUGAAAUGCGUAGAGAUCGGGAGGAACACCUGUGGCGAAAGCGGCGCACUGGACCACAACUGACGCUGAGGCGCGAAAGCUAGGGGAGCAAACAGGAUUAGAUACCCUGGUAGUCCUAGCCCUAAACGAUGGAUGCUUGGUGUAGCCGGUACCCAAUCCGGCUGUGCCGCAGCUAACGCGAUAAGCAUCCCGCCUGGGGAUACGGUCGCAAGGCUGAA
RNAcentral lists this ribosomal RNA (331 nucleotides) under uncultured bacterium. RNAcentral describes it as "bacterial SSU rRNA". It matches the Rfam family "Bacterial small subunit ribosomal RNA", at positions 568 to 898 of the family's 1533-position model. The record is from RNAcentral.